Molecule: long non-coding RNA, 1511 nt
Filed under: Medicago truncatula (barrel medic)
Lineage: Eukaryota; Viridiplantae; Streptophyta; Magnoliopsida; Fabales; Fabaceae
Description: long non-coding RNA (MTRU_LNC004637)
Source: RNAcentral
AAGUCCUGUAGACUCAGCAGAUCCUGGGGGAUCCAUACUCCACAUCAGAUUUGACAUAUUCUAUAGAUGUCUCUAUCAAGGAUCUAAGUACAAUUUUGUCUUCUUCUGACCACGUGUAAACACAGACAAAGAACUUCAAGGACAAAGAGAAUGAAGGGGUACUUCCAGUUUCAGCAAAGGAUUUCAAAUGACCAUUCAUUGAAAUUAUCCAUAUUAGUCAAUGGCCCAACGUCCUUGAUUUGAAGCUUCUCAACGACUCAUAAUGUGUUGACACUCUUCUCCAACGUCUCUCAAAUCCCUACCUAUAUAAGGAGCUGAAGAUCUGAAGAAAAUCAACAAGACUCUGCUAUUUUAGUGUACCAUUACUCGUUAGCAUAGAGAUAAACUUUCGUUACUCGUCAGCAUGAUCCAUACUCAAUUUCUAGAAUAAAGCUCAUUUCUUGCAUGGAAAUAACUAAUGUAUUUUAAUAGAUAAUGUGCUUUGCACUUAUCAGAUAAAUAAGAAUGCUCAAUGCUAAAGAUAUGAAAGUUAACAAAUAAGGGGUUAUAUAGUUGGUUUGGUGAAAGAGUUACAGAGUAGGGAGAGUGAUCUUGAGUUUGAUUUCCACCUCUAGCAAAUAUACUAACAAAUUAACAAUUAACAUAAAUUACUGGGUAGAAAGAAAAGUAUAACUAACAAAAAUUAAAAGGGUCGGAGUAAUAUUUACUAACAACAGUUUAUAGUUUAAUUUGGAAAACAUCAAUAGUAUGGGUGAUAAAGUGUCAUAUUUAUAAAUCAAUCGAAAUUUGGAAGUGUGAAAAAAGGUAGACUUAAUACCAGAUCGAAAUUCAACUUCAACAAGAAAAUUAGGUGAGGAUAUUUUAUGAAAUAAAAAUUUAACAUUCUUAGUAAAAAAUAUGUUUUUUUUUUUUAAAAGCUAAAAUGGAAUUUCUUAAAAUUCAAAUGAAUCUUAACCAGCAUAAGGAGUGCUAAGCUAAGAGUAAGUAGCAACAUACAAAGAAUAGAUGGGGAGCCCCCAAUGGAAAACCCAUAUACACUCGUGCAUCAAAGAAAAAAAAUCCAAACAACCCUAUAGGAAAUGCCUCGUAUCAAAGAGUUAUCUCUGAAAUCAAUAAAUAGAAACACCAAAAACAAAGUUAUCACCACGAUCAACGAAACAACAUAAACAAAAGUUGUACCAAAAUCCUCAAACAUUGUCACAACUGCCACAAAAACAACUUCCACCACCUACAUACCACUACUGGUACACAACCCCCGAACAAUAACGUAAAAAUCUACACAACAACCAACAACCUUUGAAAAACUGUCGGGAAUAAAACCCCAAACAUCACCAUUAGCCCUCCCAAACACCUUCAUCCAACACACACCUCCCAAAGAACCGCAAAAGCCAAACAAAAACCCUUGUACCAUCAUACAAUAAGGAAAAAACAUAACCAUCACUAAACAUCACCAAAAACCACCACUAGCCACCACAAACACCACCACCGUCACCAAAACUAUCAUUAACCAC